AGUGAACGCUGGCGGUAGGCCUAACACAUGCAAGUCGAACGGCAGCACAGUAAGAGCUUGCUCUUACGGGUGGCGAGUGGCGGACGGGCGAGGAAUACAUCGGAAUCUACUUUUUCGUGGGGGAUAACGUAGGGAAACUUACGCUAAUACCGCAUACGACCUACGGGUGAAAGCAGGGGAUCUUCGGACCUUGCGCGAUUGAAUGAGCCGAUGUCGGAUUAGCUAGUUGGCGGGGUAAAGGCCCACCAAGGCGACGAUCCGUAGCUGGUCUGAGAGGAUGAUCAGCCACACUGGAACUGAGACACGGUCCAGACUCCUACGGGAGGCAGCAGUGGGGAAUAUUGGACAAAGGGCGCAAGCCUGAUCCAGCCAUACCGCGUGGGUGAAGAAGGCCUUCGGGUUGUAAAGCCCUUUUGUUGGGAAAGAAAAGUAGCAGGUUAAUACCCCGCUGUUCUGACGGUACCCAAAGAAUAAGCACCGGCUAACUUCGUG
Molecule: ribosomal RNA, 492 nt
Filed under: uncultured bacterium
Lineage: Bacteria
Description: partial 16S ribosomal RNA
Rfam family: Bacterial small subunit ribosomal RNA
Source: RNAcentral